Molecule: ribosomal RNA, 435 nt
Filed under: uncultured bacterium
Lineage: Bacteria
Description: partial 16S ribosomal RNA
Rfam family: Bacterial small subunit ribosomal RNA
Source: RNAcentral
AACGAACGCUGGCGGCAUGCCUAACACAUGCAAGUCGAACGAUUGCCCUCGGGUGAUAGUGGCGCACGGGUGCGUAACGCGUGGGGAUCUGCCCAUAGGUUCGGAAUAACAGUUGGAAACGGCUGAUAAUACCGGAAGAUAUCGCGAGAUCAAAGAGUUAUCGCAUGAGGAUGAGGCCGCGUUGGAUUAGGUAGGUGGUGGGGUAAAGGCCUACCAAGCUGACGAUCCAUAGCUGGUAAGAGAGGAUGAUCCGCCACACUGGAACUGAGACACGGCCCGGACACCUACGAGAGUGAGCGGUGGGGAAUAUUGGACAAUGGGCGCAAGCCUAAUCCAGCUAUGCCGCGUGAAGGAUGUAUGCCGGAAGGUAGUAGAGCUCUGUUACCCGGGAAGUGAAUGGCCGGUCCGGAAGGAUAAGGCCCGGCUAACUCCGGU